GGCGAUUGGGCCGAGUUUGAUCAUGGCUCAGAGCGAACGCUGGCGGCAGGCUUAACACAUGCAAGUCGAGCGGGCGUAGCAAUACGUCAGCGGCAGACGGGUGAGUAACGCGUGGGAACGUACCUUUUGGUUCGGAACAACCCAGGGAAACUUGGGCUAAUACCGGAUAAGCCCUUACGGGGAAAGAUUUAUCGCCGAAAGAUCGGCCCGCGUCUGAUUAGCUAGUUGGUAGGGUAACGGCCUACCAAGGCGACGAUCAGUAGCUGGUCUGAGAGGAUGAUCAGCCACAUUGGGACUGAGACACGGCCCAAACUCCUACGGGAGGCAGCAGUGGGGAAUAUUGGACAAUGGGCGCAAGCCUGAUCCAGCCAUGCCGCGUGAGUGAUGAAGGCCCUAGGGUUGUAAAGCUCUUUUGUGCGGGAAGAUAAUGACGGUACCGCAAGAAUAAGCCCCGGCUAACUUCGUGCCAGCAGCCGCGGUAAU
Molecule: ribosomal RNA, 483 nt
Filed under: uncultured bacterium
Lineage: Bacteria
Description: bacterial SSU rRNA
Rfam family: Bacterial small subunit ribosomal RNA
Source: RNAcentral